CGGGGAUUAAAUUAAAGAACUAAUAGAAAAAUAAAUAGAAAAAAAAAAGAGAAACUGAAAAAGUUAAAAAGGUAAUGACAUCAUGUGGUGACAUAAGCAUGAUGCCAUAAAUAUUAUAAUUAAAAUUUAUUUAAUUUAGAUAAAUUUUGGUCUUCCUAAGAGAUAAACUCAUAAAAGAAAAAAAAAGAAAAGAGAAGAAAAAAAAAAACACUUAUCUUCUUCAAGUGGCCGUCCCUCUCUCCAUCUCAUCUCCAUGGUUGUCCUCCAUUGAAGCUUGCACUCAAGCUUUUGUUCCCUCACUUAACCUUAAUUUCUACCACAAUUUUUUCAUAAAACCUUACUACCCUCACUUGAGAAGGAGAUUUAGCAAAGAAAGAAGGAAGAAAAAGAGGAGAUUGAAGAAGGGAACAUCCAAAUUAAGUGGAAAGGAACACCGAGAAAGAACCCGAGGAAUCGAGUCAAGGCCAAGAUGCGACUCGCUUAAGAUAUAGAGACUAGAAGAGCAGCAGAGUGAGCUGCUGAGGACAGAGAAGCUAUCGAGUAUAAUUUAUACCCUGACUGUAAAUAUUUAUUUUGAUGUAUGUAAUACACGUAAAUGUAUGGACAUGUAAAAUUGGUCUGGAGCAGCUUGUAUAAAGCUUGUAUAAAGUU
Hevea brasiliensis (rubber tree) is the source of this 651-nucleotide long non-coding RNA. RefSeq lists it as uncharacterized. The record is from RefSeq and is a predicted model, not a curated record. The transcript is spliced from 3 exons. NCBI's taxonomy places the organism in Eukaryota, Viridiplantae, Streptophyta, Magnoliopsida, Malpighiales, Euphorbiaceae.